UCUCCGUUGGUGAACCAGCGGAGGGAUCAUUACAGGACUCGCAAGACUCCUUCACCCUGUGAACCUCACUACAAGCACGUUGCUUCGGCGGGCGUCCCGGCGGGGGUUUUCCCUCGCCGGGGCGCACAGCCCGCCGGCAGCCUACUAUACUCUGUCUCUUUGCGUUGGCAUCUCGAGAAAAAACAAACAAGUUAAAACUUUCAACAACGGAUCUCUUGGUUCUG
This 224-nucleotide unclassified non-coding RNA is filed under the name plant metagenome. RNAcentral describes it as "partial contains small subunit ribosomal RNA, internal transcribed spacer 1, and 5.8S ribosomal RNA". The record is from RNAcentral.